Molecule: ribosomal RNA, 916 nt
Filed under: uncultured archaeon
Lineage: Archaea
Description: SSU rRNA
Rfam family: Archaeal small subunit ribosomal RNA
Source: RNAcentral
UUUCCGGUUGAUCCUGCCGGACCUGACUGCUAUCGGAUUGAUACUAAGCCAUGCGAGUCUUUGUAGUAAUACAAGGCAGACGGCUCAGUAACGCGUAGUCAACCUACCCUAUGGACGGGAAUAAUCUCGGGAAACUGAGCAUAAUACCCGGCGUACCACCAUUCCUGGAAUGGUUGGUGGUUAAAAUGAUUCGUCGCCGUAGGAUGGGACUGCGACUUAUCGGCUUGUUGGUGAGGUAAAGGCCCACCAAGGCGAUUACAGGUACGGGCUCUGAGAGGAGAAGCCCGGAGAUGGGUACUGAGACACGGACCCAGGCCCUAUGGGGCGCAGCAGGCGAGAAAACUUUGCAAUGUGCGAAAGCACGACAAGGUUAAUCCGAGUGAUUUCUGCUAAAGGAAUCUUUUGCCAGUUCUAAAAAUACUAGUGAAUAAGGGGUGGGCAAGUUCUGGUGUCAGCCGCCGCGGUAAAACCAGCACCUCAAGUGGUCAGGAGGAUUAUUGGGCCUAAAGCAUCCGUAGCCUGCUCUGUAAGUUUUCGGUUAAAUCUAUAUGCUCAACGUAUAGGCUGCCGAAAAUACUGCAGUGCUAGGAAGUGGGAGAGGUAGACGGUACUCGAUAGGAAGGGGUAAAAUCCUUUGAUCUAUCGAUGACCACCUGUGGCGAAGGCGGUCUACCAGAACACGUUCGACGGUGAGGGAUGAAAGCUGGGGGAGCAAACCGGAUUAGAUACCCGGGUAGUCCCAGCUGUAAACGAUGCAGACUCGAUGAUGCAUUGGCAUAUAGCCAGUGCAGUGUCGCAGGGAAGCCGUUAAGUCUGCCGCCUGGGAAGUACGUACGCAAGUAUGAAACUUAAAGGAAUUGGCGGGGGAGCACCACAAGGGGUGAAGCCUGCGGUUCAAUUGGAUUCAACGCCGGGA